GGGGACCUGCCCAGCAGGGCCCUUAAACCGCGGAGCCGCAAGGCUUCGCCACACAACGGAAGACAGAAA
Molecule: regulatory RNA element, 69 nt
Rfam family: L2-Alphaproteobacteria ribosomal protein leader
Source: Rfam